RNAcentral lists this transfer RNA (57 nucleotides) under Bos taurus (domestic cattle). It matches the Rfam family "tRNA", at positions 8 to 63 of the family's 71-position model. From Rfam's summary of the family: Transfer RNA (tRNA) molecules are approximately 80 nucleotides in length. Their secondary structure includes four short double-helical elements and three loops (D, anti-codon, and T loops). The record is from Rfam by way of RNAcentral. RNAcentral also lists the same sequence under 5 other names. Lineage: Eukaryota; Metazoa; Chordata; Mammalia; Artiodactyla; Bovidae.
UAGCUCAGUUGGUAAAGAAUCUGCCUGCAAUGCAGGAAACCCAGGUUCGAUCCCUGG